UAUUGCUUGCUUGCUUGCUUUUUUUUGUGACAGGGUCUGGCUCUGUUGCCCAGGCUGGAGUGCAGUGGGGCAAUCACAGCUCACUACAGUCUUGACUUCUUGGGCUCAAGUGAUCCUCCCGUCUCAGCCUCCCAAGUAGCUGGAAUUAUAGGUAUGUGCCACCAUACCUGGCUAACUUUUGUAUUUUUUAUAGAGACGAAGUCUCACUGUGUUGCCCAGGCUGGUCUCAAAAUCCUGGCCUCAAGUGAUCUGCCUGCCUCAGCCUCCCAAAAUGCUGGGAUUACAGGUGUGAGCCACUGCACCCAGCCUCCCCACAUAUUUCUAAUAAUGUGUUUCAGUACUUUUUCUUGACUCUUUCCCCCUGUUUUAGACAUUAUCUAUUGCCUUCCUACUAAUGAAGUUUCCUUGUACAUGAAGAGGCACAGGGAAAUUCACCCUGAAGUUGGCUCCCUGGUGUAAUGAGUAUUUUGACUUAAAAAUUCUUCAAGAUAAAUAUACUGGAAGAGACUUCUCCCUGAUCUAGGUAAAGACCUGAUGGACCCACCAAGGAGAACUGUUGUCCCCCGCACCCCCUCUCGCUUCUCAAUCCUCUGUCUCUCCCCAAGCACAGGAUGAAGUUGUUGUCUGCAGUUCCUUUAUGUUGCGGGAAGUCAGGGACCCCGAAUGGAGGGACCGGCUGGAGCUGUGGCAGAGGAACAUAAAUUGUGAAGAUUUCAUGGACAUUUGUCAGUUCCCAAAUAAUACUCUUAUAAUUUCUUACACCUGUCUUACUUUAAUCUCUUAAUCCUGUUGUCUUCGUAAGCUGAGGAUGUACGUCACCUCAGGACCACUGUUGUGUUAACUGCACCAAUUGAUUGUAAAACAUGUGUGUUUGAACAAUAUGAAAUCAGUGCACCUUGAAAAAGAACAGAAUAACAGCGAUUUUCAGGGAACAAGGGAAGACAACCAUAAGGUCUGACUGCCUGUGGGGUCGGGCAAAAUAGAGCCAUAUUUUUCUUCUUGCAGAGAGCCUAUAAAUGGAUGUGCAAGUAGGGAAGAUAUUGCUAAAAUCUUUUCCUAACAAGGAUUAAUACUCUGGGAAAGAAAUGCAUUCCUGGGGGAAGGUCUAUAAAUGGCCGCUCUGAGAAUGUCUGUCUUAUGCAGUUGAGAUAAGGACUGAAAUACGUCCUGGUCUCCUGCAGCACCCUCAGCCUUACUAGGGUGGGGGGAAACCCCGCCCUGGUAAAUUUGAGGUCAGACCAGUUCUCUGCUCUCGAACCCUGUUUUCUGUUGUUUAAGAUGUUUAUCAAGACAAUACGUGCACUGCUGAACAUAGACCCUUAUCAGUAAUUUUGCUUUUGCUCUUUGCCUUGUGAUCUUUGCUUUUGCCUUUUGCUUUGUGAUCUUUGUUCUCCUUUUUGCCCUUUGAAGCAUGUGAUCUUUGUGACCUACUCCCUGUUCUUGCACCCCCUCCGCUUUUGAAAUCCUUAAUAAAACUUGCUGGCUUUAAGGCUCAAGUGGGCAUCACGGUCCUACCGAUAUGUGAUGUCACCCCCGGAGGCCCAGCUGUAAAAUUCCUCUCUUUGUACUCUUUCUCUUUAUUUCUCAGCUGGCCGACACUUAUGGAAAAUAGAAAGAACCUAUGUUGAAAUAUUGGGAGCUGGUUCCCCCGAUACCUUUACCUGCCUAAACUCCGAACCCACCAAAGAAUAAAGCAAUGAUCUUUGGUCUCCUCCCUGGGUUUUCAUUCACUGAACUCAUAUUGCAAGAACAAAGCCUGAAGUCCGCCAACACACCUGGACAGACUUGUCAUGAACCAUUGUCUGCUCUUCAGGCCCUACAGAAUUUGUCCCAGGCCAUUGUAUGUUCUUCAAAUCCUGUAUUCCAGGGUUCUCCAGCCCCUGGACCAUGGACUGGUACUGGUCCAUGGCUUGUUAGGAACUGGGCCAGACAGCAGGAGGUGAGUGGUGCGCGAGCCAGCAAAGCUUCAUCUGUAUUUACAGCUGCUCCUCGUUGCUCACGUUACUGCCUGAGCUCUGCCUCCUGUCGGGUCAGCAGUGGCAUUAGAUUCUCAUAGGAGCAUGAGCCCUAUUGUGAACUGCGCAUAUGAGGGAUCUAGGCUGUGUACUCCUUAUGAGAAUCUAAUGCCUGAUGAUCUGUCACUGUCUCCCAUCUCCCCCAUAUAGGACCAUCUAGUUGCAAGAAAACAAGCUCAGGGCUCCUACAUGAUGAGCUUCGCUUCCAGCAGUCGCUGUGAUAGAGACUUUGAGCUACGUGGAGAUCCGUGUGGAGCUGGAAGUGAAGAUGAUGGCGUCCAAUCCACCUCCAAGGCUUAAAAAGUUGUGCAGCGCCCAACGGACACCACAUUCCAUUGGGAAGUGAUUAUGGUAGUAUGGUAGUUUAAGAAUGAAACAAAAUAUUUUUAAUUUAUGGGGAUCAUUUUUUGAAUGUCUACUAAGUUGUUAGAAUAUGAAUACUUCAGUUGUUUGUACUUAACUGUCUAAUACAUGGAACCUCUAUCUAUUUCUUUUGGCCUAGGAGGGCCGUGAAAAAAUUAGGGGGACACUCAAGGUGUUGUCACUGGAGACAGUUUGGGAGCCCCUGGAUUAUGAU
This 2592-nucleotide long non-coding RNA is filed under the name Homo sapiens (human). Its description in RNAcentral is "HSALNT0027069". The record is from RNAcentral. Lineage: Eukaryota; Metazoa; Chordata; Mammalia; Primates; Hominidae.